UCUACGGGUGGCAGCAGUGGGGAAUAUUGGGCAAUGGGCGCAAGCCUGACCCAGCAACGCCGCGUGAAGGAAGAAGGCUCUCGGGUUGUAAACUUCUUUUAUCAGGGACGAAGCAAGUGACGGUCCCUGAUGAAUAAGCCACGGCUAACUACGUGCCAGCAGCCGCGGUAAUACGUAGGUGGCAAGCGUUAUCCGGAUUUACUGGGUGUAAAGGGGGUGUAGGCGGGAAAGCAAGUCAGAUGUGAAAACCAUGGGCUCAACCUGUGGCCUGCAUUUGAAACUGUUUUUCUUGAGUACUGGAGAGGCAGACGGAAUUCCUAGUGUAGCGGUGAAAUGCGUAGAUAUUAGGAGGAACACCAGUGGCGAAGGCGGUCUGCUGGACAGCAACUGACGCUGAGGCGCGAAAGCGUGGGGAGCAAACAGGAUUAGAUACCCUUGUAGUC
Molecule: ribosomal RNA, 443 nt
Filed under: uncultured bacterium
Lineage: Bacteria
Description: partial 16S ribosomal RNA
Rfam family: Bacterial small subunit ribosomal RNA
Source: RNAcentral